Molecule: unclassified non-coding RNA, 192 nt
Filed under: uncultured Monocillium
Lineage: Eukaryota; Fungi; Ascomycota
Description: partial internal transcribed spacer 2
Source: RNAcentral
CAACCCUCGCCCCCCAGCCGGGGCGGUGUUGGGGACCGGCCUUGGGGGAGCUUCGGCUCCCCCGGCGCCGCCCCCUAAACCCAUUGGCGGCCCCGCCGGCGCGACGCCCGCGUAGUAUCACUACCCCGCGGUCCGGAGCGACGGAGGCGGCACAGCCGUAAAACACCCCAAUUCGGGCCGAGAGGCCUCAGA